UGGGGAAUUUUGGACAAUGGGCGCAAGCCUGAUCCAGCAAUGCCGCGUGAGUGAAGAAGGCCUUCGGGUUGUAAAGCUCUUUUGUCAGGGAAGAAACGGGAUUGGCUAAUAUCCAGUCCUAAUGACGGUACCUGAAGAAUAAGCACCGGCUAACUACGUGCCAGCAGCCGCGGUAAUACGUAGGGUGCAAGCGUUAAUCGGAAUUACUGGGCGUAAAGCGUGCGCAGGCGGUUUUGUAAGUCUGAUGUGAAAUCCCCGGGCUCAACCUGGGAAUUGCAUUGGAGACUGCAAGGCUGGAGUCUGGCAGAGGGGGGUAGAAUUCCACGUGUAGCAGUGAAAUGCGUAGAGAUGUGGAGGAACACCGAUGGCGAAGGCAGCCCCCUGGGUCAAGACUGACGCUCAUGCACGAAAGCGUGGGGAGCAAACAGG
Molecule: ribosomal RNA, 429 nt
Filed under: uncultured Massilia sp.
Lineage: Bacteria; Pseudomonadati; Pseudomonadota; Betaproteobacteria; Burkholderiales; Oxalobacteraceae
Description: bacterial SSU rRNA
Rfam family: Bacterial small subunit ribosomal RNA
Source: RNAcentral